GACGGCAAAUGAUGAGAAAUUGUUAUCCUACACGCUGAACUAAAUGUAGACUAUAACUCCGCUUAUUAUCUUAUGCCUUC
This is a small nucleolar RNA of Juglans microcarpa x Juglans regia, 80 nucleotides long. RefSeq annotates it as small nucleolar RNA R16. Lineage: Eukaryota; Viridiplantae; Streptophyta; Magnoliopsida; Fagales; Juglandaceae. The transcript has a single exon. The record is from RefSeq and is a predicted model, not a curated record.